GAAAAGGGGGGGGGGGGGGUGUUUCCAUAAAUAACUAGCACUGCACUACAAUAUAAAACCACAUCUACUGUACAUAGAGAUAUAAAACUCAAAGACAUUACUCCACAAAUACUCUUACCAGCACCUCAAAUCAUGUGGACAGACUUAACUUCACUAUGUCUACAUAUUUCAGUGUCAGUCUAAAAUACACUUAUUCAUGCUACAGAUAGGAACUAUGCAUUGAAGGUUUACUGUAAAGAAGCAAGCUUUUUAUUUUUCUAAAAUGCAUUUUAAAUGUGUGUACUAUUCAAAUAAUGAUUGGUAUAGAAAUGGCAUUUAUUGAUUGUGAUAUUUUUUUUUAAAUUGAAUCAAUAUUUUUGUUUUCUUUGUUGAUGAGCUUUGUUUAUUUAUACAUGUAGAGAAUAUGUAAUGUAUAAUAUGUAAUAUGUAAUUCAUUAAAAGUGGAGGAAAUUUAAGAACCAAAUAUAUUUUACAUUAUUUGCCGAAUGAAAAUAAUUUACAUUGAAGUUGGUGUUAUCAUUUACCAGGUCGAUCAAUGAUUUUAUUAUAAUGAACUUUGUAUUAAUUAAAAAAAAACAACUGACUAAAAGGUUUUUUUUUUAAAUUUCUGACACCAAAACAAAAACUGACUAAAACCAAAGGCUUGUCUUCAAGUCCCAAGAUUUUAUAAGAUAGCAUGACUAAUAUGAUGACACUUUUGUGUCAAUUAAUGUUCUUUUUUUUUAUAUAUUUUUUUAUAACAUCUUUUUUUUUUUGUUUGACAGUUGAAAUUAAACAUGAACAAACAAAUUAAAGGUCUGUAUAUUGUAAAUAAUGUGUUAACAUAAUACGAAACUUCAUUUGAAAGCAG
This is a non-coding RNA of Biomphalaria pfeifferi, 850 nucleotides long. The record is from the annotation of a GenBank genome assembly. Lineage: Eukaryota; Metazoa; Mollusca; Gastropoda; Planorbidae.